CCUACGGGACGCAGCAGUGGGGGAUAUUGCACAAUGGGGGAAACCCUGAUGCAGCAACGCCGCGUGUGGGAAGAAGGUUUUCGGAUUGUAAACCACUGUUCUUGGUGAAGAUAAUGACGGUAACCAAGGAGAAAGCUCCGGCUAACUACGUGCCAGCAGCCGCGGUAAUACGUAGGGAGCAAGCGUUGUCCGGAUUUACUGGGUGUAAAGGGUGCGUAGGCGGUCUUGCAAGUCAGACGUGAAAACCACAGGCUCAACCUGUGGACUGCGUUUGAAACUGUGGGGCUUGAGUGAAGUAGAGGUAG
This 305-nucleotide ribosomal RNA is filed under the name uncultured bacterium. Its description in RNAcentral is "bacterial SSU rRNA". It matches the Rfam family "Bacterial small subunit ribosomal RNA", at positions 338 to 660 of the family's 1533-position model. The record is from RNAcentral.